UGGGGAAUUUUGGACAAUGGGGGCAACCCUGAUCCAGCCAUCCCGCGUGUGCGAUGAAGGCCUUCGGGUUGUAAAGCACUUUUGGCAGGGAAGAAACAGCCUGGGAUAAUACCCCGGGCGACUGACGGUACCUGCAGAAUAAGCACCGGCUAACUACGUGCCAGCAGCCGCGGUAAUACGUAGGAUGCAAGCGUUAAUCGGAAUUACUGGGCGUAAAGCGUGCGCAGGCGGUUCGGAAAGAAAGGUGUGAAUCCCAGGGCUUAACCUUGGAACUGCACUUUAACUACCGAGCUAGAGUACGUCAGAGGGGGGUAGAAUUCCACGUGUAGCAGUGAAAUGCGUAGAGAUGUGGAGGAAUACCGAUGGCGAAGGCAGCCCCCUGGGAUGAUACUGACGCUCAUGCACGAAAGCGUGGGGAGCAAACAGGAUUAGAUACCCUGGUAGUCCACGCCCUAAACGAUGUCAACUAGCUGUUGGGGUUUAUUAACCUUAGUAGCGCAGCUAACGCGUGAAGUUGACCGCCUGGGGAGUACGGUCGCAAGAUUAAAAC
Molecule: ribosomal RNA, 550 nt
Filed under: uncultured bacterium
Lineage: Bacteria
Description: partial 16S ribosomal RNA
Rfam family: Bacterial small subunit ribosomal RNA
Source: RNAcentral